CCCUUAGAUGUUCUGGGCUGCACGCGUGCUACACUGAUUACUUCAACAAGUGUUUUAACUGGAGAGUUUGCGUAAUCCUGAAAUGUUAUCGUGAUGGGAGUAGAGUAUUGUAUUUGUUAAUCCUUAACGAGGAAUUCCUAGUAAGUGUAGGUUUAUAAGUUGUUCUGAUUACGUCCCUGCCCUUUGUACACACCGCCCGUCGCUCCUACCGAUUGAUUGAUCCGGUGAAUUACAUAGAAUUUUGCGUUUUACAUGACGGAAGAUGAAGUGUUUUAAACCUUAUCAUUUAGAGGAAGGAGAAGUCGUAACA
RNAcentral lists this ribosomal RNA (310 nucleotides) under uncultured eukaryote. RNAcentral's name for it is "partial 18S ribosomal RNA". It matches the Rfam family "Eukaryotic small subunit ribosomal RNA", at positions 1470 to 1796 of the family's 1831-position model. The record is from RNAcentral.